GCACAAGCGGUGGAUCAUGUUGUUUAAUUCGACGAUACGCGAAGAACCUUAUCAGGUCUUGACAUCCCCUGCAAAGCUAUGGAGACAUAGUGAGGUUAUCAGGGAGACAGGUGGUGCAUGGUUGUCGUCAGCUCGUGUCGUGAGAUGUUGGGUUAAGUCCCGCAACGAGCGCAACCCUUAUUGCUAGUUACCAUCAUUAAGUUGGGGACUCUAGCGAGACUGCCAGUGAUAAACUGGAGGAAGGUGGGGAUGACGUCAAAUCAUCAUGCCCCUUAUGACCUGGGCUACAAACGUGAUACAAUGGCUGAAACAAAGGGCAGCGAAGGAGCGAUCUGGAGCGAAACCCAAAAAAGCAGUCUCAGUUCGGAUUGAAGUCUGCAACUCGACUUCAUGAAGUCGGAAUCGCUAGUAAUCGCGGAUCAGAACGCCGCGGUGAAUACGUUCUCGGGGUUU
This 453-nucleotide ribosomal RNA is filed under the name uncultured Acholeplasma sp. RNAcentral describes it as "bacterial SSU rRNA". It matches the Rfam family "Bacterial small subunit ribosomal RNA", at positions 923 to 1382 of the family's 1533-position model. The record is from RNAcentral. Lineage: Bacteria; Bacillati; Mycoplasmatota; Mollicutes; Acholeplasmatales; Acholeplasmataceae.